Oncorhynchus tshawytscha (Chinook salmon) is the source of this 1251-nucleotide long non-coding RNA. The record is from Ensembl. NCBI's taxonomy places the organism in Eukaryota, Metazoa, Chordata, Actinopteri, Salmoniformes, Salmonidae.
UGGGAAGGGCCCGUCAGUAAGCAUUUCACUGUUAGUCCACACUUGUUAUUUAUGAAGCAUGUGACUAAUACAAUUUGAUUUGAUUUCCAUGGCUGGCCAUGUUGUUCAGAUCGCUCUGUUCCAAACAUGAGGUUAGUACCAGGAAGAGGAGGGCAUACACUUUAUUUAUGGAAAUAAGCUCCACUCUUGUUAUUUUAAAGAGACAGAUAUUCCCUCCCACAAAGCAGUCUAAAUAUUUUGACAUGUUUGAGUGUUACUGUAUUUUAUAGUAAAACUGAAUCACUCUUCUUCUCUAAAUAGGGUAUAACUUGAAGAAAAUAAACAAUUUCACAUGAAACGUUCCCCUUUCUUUGGCCAUCAAACAGUAGGAAAAGACUACUGUAGAGGACCUGAGCCCUAGGACCAUGCUUUAGGACUACCUGUCCUGAUGACUCCUUGCUGUCCCCAGUCUACCUGGUCGUGCUGCUGCUCCAGUUUCAACUGUUCUGCCUGCAGCUAUGGAACCCUGACCUGUUCACUGGACGUGCUACCUGUCCCAGACCUGCUGUUUUCAACUCUCUAGAGACAGCAGGAGCGGUAGAGAAACUCUGAAUGAUCGGCUAUGAAAAGCCAACUGACAUUUACUCCUGAGGUGCUGACCUGUGGCACCCUCUACAACCACUGUGAUUAUUAUUAUUUGACCCUACUGGUCAUCUAUGAACAUUUGAACAUCUUGGCCAUGCUCUGUUAUAAUCUCCAUCUGGCAUAGCCAGAAGACGACUGGCCACCCCUCAUAGCCUGGUUCCUCUCUAGGUUUCUUCCUAGGUUUUGGCCUUUCUAGGGAAUUUUUCCUAGCCACCGUGCUUCUACACCUGUAUUGCUUGCUGUUUGGGGUUUUAGGCUGGGUUUCUGUACAGCACUUUGUGACAUAAGUUGAUGUGGCAGUGUAGCCUAGUCGUUAGAGCGUUGGACUAGUAACUGAAAGGUUCCAAGUUCAAUACCCGAGCUGGUAAGGUACAAAUCUGUCCUUCUGCCAGUCAUUGAAAAUAAGAAUUUGUUCUUAACUGACUUGCCUAGUAAAAUAAAUGUAAGGGCUUUAUAUAUACGAUUGAUUGCUUAAAAUACAUUCUUAAUCUGUGCUGUAGUGUUCUUUUUGUCCUUUUUCGCGAGGAAUUAUUGCUUGCUUUGUGAGAUGAACUAACCUCCUAUUAUGUAGCAUCAGUUUGCAGCCAUUUCACUCUCACUGCAGUUAUCUUUGUCCAUCUGAUACAA